AGAGCGAACGCUGGCGGCAGGCCUAACACAUGCAAGUCGAGCGGCCGUAGCAAUACGGCAGCGGCAGACGGGAGAGUAACACGUGGGAACGUGCCUAUCAGUUCGGAACAACCCAGGGAAACUUGGGCUAAUACCGGAUACGCCCUUACGGGGAAAGAUUUAUCGCUGAUAGAGCGGCCCGCGUCUGAUUAGCUAGUUGGUGAGGUAACGGCUCACCAAGGCGACGAUCAGUAGCUGGUCUGAGAGGAUGAUCAGCCUCACUGGGACUGAGACACGGCCCAGACUCCUACGGGAGGCAGCAGUGGGGAAUAUGGACAAUGGGCGCAAGCCUGAUCCAGCCAUGCCGCGUGGAUGAUGAAGGCCUUAGGGUUGUAAAAUCCGUUUGGCGGGAAGAUAAUGACGGUACCGCAGAAGAAGCCCGGCUAACUUCGUGCUAGCAGCCGC
This 444-nucleotide ribosomal RNA is filed under the name uncultured soil bacterium. Its description in RNAcentral is "bacterial SSU rRNA". It matches the Rfam family "Bacterial small subunit ribosomal RNA", at positions 26 to 518 of the family's 1533-position model. The record is from RNAcentral.